CCCUUAGAUGUUCUGGGCCGCACGCGCGCUACAAUGGUCUUCGCAAACGGAUGCAUUCUCGAAGGAGAAUGCCAAUCUUGGAAUCUAUGCCUUGGUCGGGACAGUUGCUUGCAAUUUUUCGACUCGAACCAGGAAUUCCUUGUAAUCGUGAUUCAUCACAUCACGAUGAAUACGUCCCUGCCCUUUGUACACACCGCCCGUCGCUCCUACCGAUCGAAGAGUUAGGUGAAUUGUUUCGAUCGAUAAGAUUUGACUAUGGUCAACUCUCGUUGUGAAAUUCUGUGAAUCUGACUGUUUAGAGGAAGGAAAAGUCGUAACA
RNAcentral lists this ribosomal RNA (319 nucleotides) under uncultured eukaryote. Its description in RNAcentral is "partial 18S ribosomal RNA". It matches the Rfam family "Eukaryotic small subunit ribosomal RNA", at positions 1470 to 1796 of the family's 1831-position model. The record is from RNAcentral.